This 1010-nucleotide long non-coding RNA is filed under the name Cricetulus griseus (Chinese hamster). RNAcentral describes it as "lncRNA (ENSCGRG00015039424.1)". The record is from RNAcentral. Lineage: Eukaryota; Metazoa; Chordata; Mammalia; Rodentia; Cricetidae.
CUUUUCUCUCACUUCUGCUUGGCUUUAAUGUAUAUUACGUGGGGAUCAUGAUACACACAUCUCCCAGGACCUCUUCACCCUACUCUUCAUGAAACAAGUCUGGAAGAUACACUUUAAAAAACUCCAAACUCUCCUCUACAAACUGUGAUACAUUUCUUCUAUCAGCAAAGGAGAAGGCUUCAGUCUCCCUGUAGCUAACAAAUGAAGACUGAGGGAACCCAAAGAGUAUAGCCAAAGCCACCUGACAGUCCCACAGGAGAAUCCAUUACUCACAUGUUGAGCUUCUCCAUGACUCAGUUUCCUGACCUAUACAAUGUUGAAUAUAAUGUGAUAUCCUCCUUGAUUGCUGUUAGGAAUGAAGGAGCUUGUCAACAUGCAACAGGGAUGUGAAAGCAAACUAUAUAAUUUGUGUGAACAAUUUCUACUUCCACAGGACUAAGUUCCCUAUUCACUCCCACUGCGGCUGCCAUAGAGAAAGAAGUAGGUCAUCAGAGACAUGAGGAUUGAUUCAGGAUGGGAACAGGUCUGGAAUUUUACCUCUGAAGAAGUGAAAAUCUCUUUAGACAUAAAAUUCUGUUUGAUUGGGUCAGGUUGACUUUUUUCACAGGUUGCUUACCUCACAGAGGCUAUGCCAGGGCACGGCACGAACCACUCACAGAUGUUUUUGCUUGAAGCUGUUACAUAUCUCCUUGGAAAUUUGCUUCAUAAUCCUAACAAGGCACCACUUUCAGAUAAAACAUAGACCUGAAUGGCAUCAUCCAGUAUCCAAGGAAACCAUGUAAGUACCUCUCUCACUGUGUACUUCUCUUAUUCAGAGUUUAAAAGCUAGCUGAGUACUGAAUAAGUGAGUGUUUUUAUUUAAUAAUUAUAUGGGUGGGACUUUUUAGGAGCUUGCUAAAAAGAAACAGGUCCUUGAUUGUUAUGUGCGUCAUAACAAAACCCUUAUGUUUCCUCAUAUUUCAUAAAAUUAUGUGUUUAGUCCCAACCUCUCCAUCAGUUCUCAUUCUUAU